CAGACUCCUACGGGAGGCAGCAGUAGGGAAUAUUGCUCAAUGGGGGAAACCCUGAAGCAGCAACGCCGCGUGGAGGAUGAAGGUUUUAGGAUUGUAAACUCCUUUUGUUAGAGAAGAUAAUGACGGUAUCUAACGAAUAAGCACCGGCUAACUCCGUGCCAGCAGCCGCGGUAAUACGGAGGGUGCAAGCGUUACUCGGAAUCACUGGGCGUAAAGAGCGCGUAGGCGGGAUAGUCAGUCAGGUGUGAAAUCCUAUGGCUUAACCAUAGAACUGCAUUUGAAACUACUAUUCUAGAGUGUGGGAGAGGUAGGUGGAAUUCUUGGUGUAGGGGUAAAAUCCGUAGAGAUCAAGAGGAAUACUCAUUGCGAAGGCGACCUGCUGGAACAUUACUGACGCUGAUUGCGCGAAAGCGUGGGGAGCAAACAGGAUUAGAUACCCUGGUAGUCCACGCCCUAAACGAUGGAUGCUAGUUGUUGGAGGGCUUAGUCUCUCCAGUAAUGCAGCUAACGCAUUAAGCAUCCCGCCUGGGGAGUACGGUCGCAAGAUUAAAACUCAAAGGAAUAGACGGGGACCCGCACAAGCGGUGGAGCAUGUGGUUUAAUUCGAAGAUACACGAAGAACCUUACCUAGGCUUGACAUUGAGAGAAUCCGCUAGAAAUAGUGGAGUGUCUGGCUUGCUAGACCUUGAAAACAGGUGCUGCACGGCUGUCGUCAGCUCGUGUCGUGAGAUGUUGGGUUAAGUCCCGCAACGAGCGCAACCCCCUUUCUUAGUUGCUAACAGGUCAUGCUGAGAACUCUAAGGAUACUGCCUCCGUAAGGAGGAGGAAGGUGGGGACGACGUCAAGUCAUCAUGGCCCUUACGCCUAGGGCUACACACGUGCUACAAUGGGGUGCACAAAGAGAAGCAAUACUGCGAAGUGGAGCCAAUCUUCAAAACACCUCUCAGUUCGGAUUGUAGGCUGCAACUCGCCUGCAUGAAGCUGGAAUCGCUAGUAAUCGCAAAUCAGCCAUGUUGCGGUGAAUACGUUCCCGGGUCUUGUACUCACCGCCCGUCACACCAUGGGAGUUGUGUUUGCCUUAAGUCAGGAUGCUAAAUUGGCUACUGCCCACGGCACACACAGCGACUGGGGUGAAGUCGUAACAAGGUAACCGUAGGUGAACCUGCGGUUGGAUCACC
This 1178-nucleotide ribosomal RNA is filed under the name Helicobacter pylori Hp H-43. RNAcentral describes it as "bacterial SSU rRNA". It matches the Rfam family "Bacterial small subunit ribosomal RNA", at positions 332 to 1527 of the family's 1533-position model. Lineage: Bacteria; Pseudomonadati; Campylobacterota; Epsilonproteobacteria; Campylobacterales; Helicobacteraceae. The record is from RNAcentral.